AUGGCAGCUGCCGCGAUCAGGGCCCGGCUAGACAACCUUGUCACAUCCAUGUUCACCACGGUGAGUCCACCCCGUCGUCAUCCCAUCCCAUGUACACCUCGGCCGUGUGGUUGUUCCGGUGGCUGGCUGACUCUCCUAGUUCAUCUUCGCCUUCGAUCUUGUCAUGUGAUUCAUCUAGGGCAUGCUGGACGAGAAUUUCCAGCAACUGCGGUCGAUGGAAGAGAAUGGCACUGCAGCCCCGGGCUACGUCACCGAGAUGAUCAACCUCUUCAUCAAAGACACCAAGAGGAUCCUCAACGACAUCGCCGGAACCAACCUGUGGUGGACUACGACAUUGUGGACGUCCUCGUGCGUCAGCUCAAGGGGUGCAGCUACAUUGUUGGUGCUAAGAAAGUGAACCUCUCCUGCAUGCAAUUCCGUCGGUUCUACGAGCCAAGAAGCAAAGAAAGAUGCCUCAUGGCGUUGGCUCUUGCUUGGAAUGAGUUCUGUGAAGUGCGCAGCAAGUUCGAGGCUAUGAUGCAGCUGGAGGAGCAGAUCGCAGCCUAUGGUCCUAACUAG
RNAcentral lists this ribosomal RNA (558 nucleotides) under Triticum aestivum (bread wheat). RNAcentral describes it as "partial small subunit ribosomal RNA". Lineage: Eukaryota; Viridiplantae; Streptophyta; Magnoliopsida; Poales; Poaceae. The record is from RNAcentral.